AGCAGCCGCGGUAAUUCCAGCUCCAAUAGCGUAUAUUAAAGUUGUUGCAGUUAAAAAGCUCGUAGUUGAAUUUCGGGGUUAGUAGGCUGGUCGUGCCACAGGUAUGAACUGGUCUUACUGACUUCUCCUUUCUGAAGAACUGUAAUGCCAUUAAUUUGGUGUUUCAGGGAAACAGGACUGUUACUUUGAAAAAAUUAGAGUGUUUAAAGCAGGCUAACGCUUGAAUACAUUAGCAUGGAAUAAUGAAAUAGGACGUUCGAUCCUAUUUUGUUGGUUUCUAGGAUUGACGUAACGAUUAAUAGGGAUAGUUGGGGGCAUUAGUAUUCAAUUGUCAGAGGUGAAAUUCUUGGAUUUAUUGAAGACUAACUACUGCGAAAGCAUUUGCCAAGGAUGUUUUCAUUAAUCAAGAACGAAAGUUAGGGGAUCGAAGACGAUCAGAUACCGUCGUAGUCUUAACCAUAAACUAUGCCGACUAGGGAUCGGAUGAUGUUAAUUUUUAAUGACUCAU
RNAcentral lists this ribosomal RNA (508 nucleotides) under uncultured Glomus. RNAcentral's name for it is "SSU rRNA". It matches the Rfam family "Eukaryotic small subunit ribosomal RNA", at positions 569 to 1079 of the family's 1831-position model. The record is from RNAcentral. Lineage: Eukaryota; Fungi; Glomeromycota; Glomeromycetes; Glomerales; Glomeraceae.